This 1303-nucleotide ribosomal RNA is filed under the name Ergaula nepalensis. Its description in RNAcentral is "16S ribosomal RNA". The stretch from base 607 to 1303 matches the Rfam family "Archaeal large subunit ribosomal RNA", at positions 1423 to 2804 of the family's 2987-position model. The record is from RNAcentral. Lineage: Eukaryota; Metazoa; Arthropoda; Insecta; Blattodea; Corydiidae.
UAAAUUAUUUUUUAUUUUUUGGUUGAGUGUUUGGGUAUUAGAUGUUUAGAAUAAUUAUUUGUUAUUGUAUAUAUUUUGGAUUAAAUACUUUUGAUGAUAGUGUAUUUGUAUUGUAGGGGAAUAUUAUAUUUUUGUAAAAGUUGAUUUUUGUAUUGUGCCUUGUGUCUCAGGAUGUAUUUAAAUUAUUUAUUUAUUUGUUUUUCUCGAAUUUAAAAGAGCUAAUUAUAUAUUUGGUAUAUUGUUAUAUAAAUAUCCUUAAUAUUUUUUAGUAGUGAAAUGUUAUUCGUUUUUAAUGAUAUCUAGUUACUUAAGAAAUAAAUUUAAUUUAGCUUUAAUCUAGUUAAUUUUUAUAUUUGGUUAUAUUAAUUUUAGGUAUAUGAAAGUUUAUGGGGGAUUAUCUCUAUAAAUUAUUUUCUAUAAUUUUUUGGUUUUGAAUAAUUUGUUUUGGUUUAAAAGUGAUUAAAAUUUUAAGUGUUUUAAAACUUAGUUUAAGAUUGUUUUGAUUUGUAUUUAUAUUUAGGUUUUUUAUUAAGUUAAUUCUUGUUGUUUUGGUUGGUAUGAAUUUAUAAUACAAUUAGUAUAUUUAUUAUUUUAUAUUGUAUGUUUAGUUUGUUAAGUUUUGUUAAGGAAUUAGGCAAAAUUAAUAUGUGUUCGUUUGUUUAACAAAAACAUUUCUUCUAUGAUGAUAUAUUGGAAGUAUAACCUGCCCACUGAAUUAAUUGAAUGGCCGCGGUACUUUGACCGUGCAAAGGUAGCAUAAUCAUUAGUCUAUUAAUUGUAGGCUGGAAUGAAUGGUUGGACGAGACGCAAACUGUCUUAGUAUUAUUGUAAUAGAAUUUAAUUUUUAGAUAAAAAGGUCUAAAUGUUUUCAUGGGACGAGAAGACCCUAUAGAGUUUAAUGUUGUAUAUAAUUUAUUUUGUUAGUGAAGUGUAUAUAAUUGUAUAUUGUAUUUUGUUGGGGUGAUGGCGAGAUAAAAUUAACUUUCGUUUAUUUUAAAUAUUGUGAAUUGAGUUUAAUGAUCCAUUAAUAAUGAUUAUAAGACCAAACUACCUUAGGGAUAACAGCGUAAUCUUUUUGGAGAGUUCAAAUCGAUGAAAGGGGUUGCGACCUCGAUGUUGGAUUAAGAUAAAUUAUAGGUGAAGAAGUUUAUAAUAUUAGGUCUGUUCGACCUUUAAAAUCUUACAUGAUCUGAGUUCAAACCGGUGUGAGCCAGGUUGGUUUCUAUCUAUGAAGUAUAAAAACAUUUUAGUACGAAAGGACCAGAUGUUUAUAAUAAUUUUUAUAGUUGAUUAUUAUUAAAUU